Long non-coding RNA from Macadamia integrifolia, 306 nucleotides. RefSeq lists it as uncharacterized. The transcript is spliced from 3 exons. The record is from RefSeq and is a predicted model, not a curated record. Lineage: Eukaryota; Viridiplantae; Streptophyta; Magnoliopsida; Proteales; Proteaceae.
CAAGGAAUUAGCUCCCUAAUAUAAAUAUUUAGGCCAGGCUUCACAUUUUUUGAUAAGAAAACGAAGAAUAGGAAGCAACCAGUGAAGCUUUUGAGAUGUUUAGCCUUCAGCAACCCACUUUGACAUAUGUAGGAGGCAAUGAUAUGAGCCUCAAUGCAGCUGAAAACGAGAAGCAACGUCGUAAGAUGCGCAAUAAGGGAUCCAUUGCUCAAUCAAGGGCAAGAAAAGAUGCUUAUGCAGCUCAAUUACUUCUUGAUGUUGGAAGACUCAAAAAGGAAAAUAAAGUGAUGAAGAGUGCUUUCAAGG